RNAcentral lists this ribosomal RNA (253 nucleotides) under uncultured bacterium. RNAcentral's name for it is "partial 16S ribosomal RNA". It matches the Rfam family "Bacterial small subunit ribosomal RNA", at positions 524 to 776 of the family's 1533-position model. The record is from RNAcentral.
UACGUAGGGUCCGAGCGUUGUCCGGAAUUAUUGGGCGUAAAGAGCUCGUAGGCGGUUUGUCACGUCGGCUGUGAAAACCCGAGGCUCAACCUCGGGCCUGCAGUCGAUACGGGCAGACUAGAGUAUGGCAGGGGAGACUGGAAUUCCUGGUGUAGCGGUGAAAUGCGUAGAUAUCAGUCGGAACACCGGUGGCGAAGGCGGCUUCUUGGGCCGUUCCUGACGCUGAGGCGCGAAAGCUGGGGGAGCGAACGGG